UUUAAGGUGACACUCCAACUCUCUAUUGUUCACAAGUCACAUGAAACAAAAUUGCCAUUCAUCUCAAACAAUCAACAUCUUUACAUGCAAAUGUCAUCAAAAGGAUUUUUCCAAGGCUUGUAAUGAGGUUGGGCUAACAAGAAAAAUUGGUUUUUCUGGAAAACAAAAUCCUUGAGUUAAGAGAGCUAUCAAAAUAUUUAACAAUUUAAGCACAACUCUCUUCCUCACCAAUCUCACUCAUUCCCCAAUUUUUCCUUUUUCUUUUACAUUGAGCUCACUUUCAUGCUUUUCUUCUUUUCUAUUCUUUUUCUCAUGAAUUUUUUUUUUCACAACAAUUGAGCUCAAUGCUUUUCAUUUACCUUUCAAUUUCCCCCAUACAACCCCAAACUUGAACCUUUUCAUAGUAUACAAUUAAGCUCGACCCAACUCAAGGUAAAGAAUUUCGAGACAAGGGUUCACAUCCUUUUUAGGCUAAGG
RNAcentral lists this long non-coding RNA (477 nucleotides) under Vigna radiata. RNAcentral describes it as "long non-coding RNA (VRAD_LNC002093)". The record is from RNAcentral. Lineage: Eukaryota; Viridiplantae; Streptophyta; Magnoliopsida; Fabales; Fabaceae.